Molecule: ribosomal RNA, 465 nt
Filed under: Vreelandella stevensii
Lineage: Bacteria; Pseudomonadati; Pseudomonadota; Gammaproteobacteria; Oceanospirillales; Halomonadaceae
Description: partial 16S ribosomal RNA
Rfam family: Bacterial small subunit ribosomal RNA
Source: RNAcentral
CCUACGGGUGGCUGCAGUGGGGAAUAUUGGACAAUGGGCGAAAGCCUGAUCCAGCCAUGCCGCGUGUGUGAAGAAGGCCUUCGGGUUGUAAAGCACUUUCAGUGGGGAAGAAAGCCUUGGGGCUAAUACCCUCGAGGAAGGACAUCACCCACAGAAGAAGCACCGGCUAACUCCGUGCCAGCAGCCGCGGUAAUACGGAGGGUGCGAGCGUUAAUCGGAAUUACUGGGCGUAAGGCGCGCGUAGGCGGUCUGAUAAGCCGGUUGUGAAAGCCCCGGGCUCAACCUGGGAACGGCAUCCGGAACUGUCAGGCUAGAGUGCAGGAGAGGAAGGUAGAAUUCCCGGUGUAGCGGUGAAAUGCGUAGAGAUCGGGAGGAAUACCAGUGGCGAAGGCGGCCUUCUGGACUGACACUGACGCUGAGGUGCGAAAGCGUGGGUAGCAAACAGGAUUAGAUACCCGAGUAGUC